AACGAACGCUGGCGGCAGGCCUAAUACAUGCAAGUCGAACGGAUGUAGCAAUACAUUAGUGGCGCACGGGUGCGGAACACGGGGGAACAUACUCUUUGGUAAGGAAUAAUGUCUGGAAACGGACACGAAUACCUUAUAAUGACUUCGGUCCAAAGAUUUAUCGCCAGAGGAUUGGCCCGGGUCUGAUUAGGUAGUUGGUGGGGUAAUGGCCUACCAAGCCUACGAUCAGUAGCUGGUCUGAGAGGAUGAUCAGCCACACUGGAACUGAGACGCGGCCCAGACUCCUACGGGAGGCAGCAGUAAGGAAUAUUGCACAAUGGGCGCAAGCCUGACCCAGCCACGCCGCGUGAGUGAAGAAGGCCUUAGGGUUGUAAAGCUCUUUCAAUAGUGAAGAUAAUGACGGUAGCUAUAGAAGAAGCCCCGGCUAAAUUCGUGCCAGCCGCCGCCGUAA
RNAcentral lists this ribosomal RNA (451 nucleotides) under uncultured bacterium. Its description in RNAcentral is "partial 16S ribosomal RNA". It matches the Rfam family "Bacterial small subunit ribosomal RNA", at positions 29 to 523 of the family's 1533-position model. The record is from RNAcentral.